UUUUCCUUUCUUACAAUGUUCUUUUGGAUCAUCAGUCAAUAUUUCUCCAUCAGGCUGCAGAGAUUACAUAUUUAAAUAAACAUUCACUAAUACAAAGUACAUAAUAAAACUGAUUAAUUUAAAGAUUAAAUUACCUCAGAAGGAACCUCGAUGGCCUUCGCAGUUGAUUUGCUUAGAAAAUCAUGCAUCUCUUCCCACAUAUUAGUUUUCUUCAAUCUCUGAUUCAGAAAUUGGAGGAGAUGAUUGUGGUUCUUCCACCCCAAAUUGCAUGUUCAAUGGUGGUGGAUUAAUGAUCAGUAAUCCGUUUU
RNAcentral lists this long non-coding RNA (308 nucleotides) under Eutrema salsugineum. RNAcentral's name for it is "long non-coding RNA (ESAL_LNC000966)". The record is from RNAcentral. Lineage: Eukaryota; Viridiplantae; Streptophyta; Magnoliopsida; Brassicales; Brassicaceae.